CCAGCCAUAGCUCAGUUGGUAGAGCGGAGGACUGUAGAGUUGGUGCAGAAAUCCUUAGGUCGCUGGUUCGAAUCCGGCUGGCUGGA
RNAcentral lists this transfer RNA (86 nucleotides) under Gongylonema pulchrum. It matches the Rfam family "tRNA". From Rfam's summary of the family: Transfer RNA (tRNA) molecules are approximately 80 nucleotides in length. Lineage: Eukaryota; Metazoa; Nematoda; Chromadorea; Rhabditida; Gongylonematidae. The record is from Rfam by way of RNAcentral.